This 364-nucleotide ribosomal RNA is filed under the name Priestia megaterium. Its description in RNAcentral is "bacterial SSU rRNA". It matches the Rfam family "Bacterial small subunit ribosomal RNA", at positions 556 to 919 of the family's 1533-position model. The record is from RNAcentral. Lineage: Bacteria; Bacillati; Bacillota; Bacilli; Caryophanales; Bacillaceae.
GGGCGUAAGCGCGCGCAGGCGGUUUCUUAAGUCUGAUGUGAAAGCCCACGGCUCAACCGUGGAGGGUCAUUGGAAACUGGGGAACUUGAGUGCAGAAGAGAAAAGCGGAAUUCCACGUGUAGCGGUGAAAUGCGUAGAGAUGUGGAGGAACACCAGUGGCGAAGGCGGCUUUUUGGUCUGUAACUGACGCUGAGGCGCGAAAGCGUGGGGAGCAAACAGGAUUAGAUACCCUGGUAGUCCACGCCGUAAACGAUGAGUGCUAAGUGUUAGAGGGUUUCCGCCCUUUAGUGCUGCAGCUAACGCAUUAAGCACUCCGCCUGGGGAGUCCGGACGCAAGACUGAAACUCAAAGAAAUUGACGGGGG